Molecule: ribosomal RNA, 254 nt
Filed under: uncultured bacterium
Lineage: Bacteria
Description: partial 16S ribosomal RNA
Rfam family: Bacterial small subunit ribosomal RNA
Source: RNAcentral
UACGUAGGGGCCUAGCGUUGUCCGGAUUUAUUGGGCGUAAAGAGCUCGUAGGCGGUUCGGCAAGUCGGAUGUGAAAUCUCCACGCUCAACGUGGAGGGGCCAUUCGAAACUGCCGUGACUCGAGUCCGGUAGGGGAGUGUGGAAUUCCCGGUGUAGCGGUGAAAUGCGCAGAUAUCGUAAGGAAGACCAGUGGCGAAGGCGGGUCUCUGGACAGUUCCUGACGCUGAGGCACGAAGGCCAGGGGAGCAAACGGG